This 393-nucleotide ribosomal RNA is filed under the name uncultured Gammaproteobacteria bacterium. RNAcentral's name for it is "bacterial SSU rRNA". It matches the Rfam family "Bacterial small subunit ribosomal RNA", at positions 35 to 411 of the family's 1533-position model. Lineage: Bacteria; Pseudomonadati; Pseudomonadota; Gammaproteobacteria. The record is from RNAcentral.
GCUGGCGGCAUGCUUAACACAUGCAAGUCGAACGGUAACAGACUGAAAGUAUCUCUUCGGAGUGAUUUCGGUGCUGACGAGUGGCGGACGGGUGAGUAAUGCAUAGGAAUCUGCCCAGUAGUGGGGGAUAACGUGGAGAAAUCCACGCUAAUACCGCAUAUGUUCCACGGAACAAAGCAGGGGACCUUCGGGCCUUGCGCUAUUGGAUGAGCCUAUGUUGGAUUAGCUAGUUGGUAGGGUAAAGGCCUACCAAGGCAACGAUCCAUAGCUGGUCUGAGAGGAUGAUCAGCCACACUGGGACUGAGACACGGCCCAGACUCCUACGGGAGGCAGCAGUGGGGAAUAUUGCACAAUGGGCGAAAGCCUGAUGCAGCAAUGCCGCGUGUGUGAAGA